AUUGAACGCUGGCGGCGUGCCUAACACAUGCAAGUCGAGCGGUAACAGGUGUAGCAAUACAUGCUGACGAGCGGCGAACGGGUGAGUAAUGCUUCGGAAUCUGCCCAUGUAGUGGGGAAUAACCAGCCGAAAGGUUGGCUAAUACCGCAUACGACCUACGGGUGAAAGCAGGGGAUCGCAAGACCUUGCGCUAUUGGAUGAGCCGAAGUCGGAUUAGCAGUUGGUAGGGUAACGGCCUACCAAGGCGACGAUCCGUAGCUGGUCUGAGAGGACGACCAGCCACACUGGGACUGAGACACGGCCCAGACUCCUACGGGAGGCAGCAGUGGGGAAUAUUGGACAAUGGGGCAACCCUGAUCCAGCGACGCCGCGUGUGUGAAGAAGGCCUGCGGGUUGUAAAGCUACUUUUAGUGGGGAUGAAAAGCUCGGGGCUAAUACCUCCGGGUCUUGACCUAACCCAAAGAAAACGACACCGGCUAACUCUGUGCCAGCCGCCGCGGUAAC
This 504-nucleotide ribosomal RNA is filed under the name uncultured bacterium. Its description in RNAcentral is "bacterial SSU rRNA". It matches the Rfam family "Bacterial small subunit ribosomal RNA", at positions 30 to 524 of the family's 1533-position model. The record is from RNAcentral.